Molecule: ribosomal RNA, 332 nt
Filed under: uncultured Actinomycetes bacterium
Lineage: Bacteria; Bacillati; Actinomycetota; Actinomycetes
Description: bacterial SSU rRNA
Rfam family: Bacterial small subunit ribosomal RNA
Source: RNAcentral
CAGGUAGGUGGUUUGAUAAGUCUGUUGUGAAAGCUCCCGGCUCAACUGGGAGAGGCCAACAGAAACUAUCAGGCUUGAGUAUGGGAGAGGGUACUGGAAUUCCCGGUGUAGCGGUGAAAUGCGCAGAGAUCGGGAGGAACACCAAUGGCGAAAGCAGGUACCUGGACCAUUACUGACACUCAACUGCGAAAGCUAGGGGAGCAAACAGGAUUAGAUACCCUGGUAGUCCUAGCUGUAAACGAUGCACAUUAGACGUGAGGGGUAUCGACCCCCUUCGUGUCGACGCUAACGCAUUAAAUGUGCCGCCUGGGGAGUACGGCCGCAAGGUUGAA